GCGGGAAUAGCUCAGUGGUAGAGCAUCUCCUUGCCAAGGAGAGGGUCGCGGGUUCGAAUCCCGUUUCCCGCU
Molecule: transfer RNA, 72 nt
Filed under: Leptospira sp.
Lineage: Bacteria; Pseudomonadati; Spirochaetota; Leptospiria; Leptospirales; Leptospiraceae
Also listed under: 2 other names
Description: tRNA-Gly
Rfam family: tRNA
About the family: Transfer RNA (tRNA) molecules are approximately 80 nucleotides in length. Their secondary structure includes four short double-helical elements and three loops (D, anti-codon, and T loops).
Source: RNAcentral